ACUCCUACGGGAGGCAGCAGUGGGGAAUAUUGCACAAUGGGCGCAAGCCUGAUGCAGCCAUGCCGCGUGUAUGAAGAAGGCCUUCGGGUUGUAAAGUACUUUCAGCAGUGAGGAAGGUGGGUAUGUUAAUAGCAUACUCAUUUGACGUUAGCUGCAGAAGAAGCACCGGCUAACUCCGUGCCAGCAGCCGCGGUAAUACGGAGGUGCGAGCGUUAAUCGGAAUUACUGGGCGUAAAGCGCAUGCAGGUGGUUUGUUAAGUCAGAUGUGAAAGCCCGGGGCUCAACCUCGGAAUUGCAUUUGAAACUGGCAAACUAGAGUACUGUAGAGGGGGGUAGAAUUUCAGGUGUAGCGGUGAAAUGCGUAGAGAUCUGAAGGAAUACCGGUGGCGAAGGCGGCCCCCUGGACAGAUACUGACACUCAGAUGCGAAAGCGUGGGGAGCAAACAGGAUUAGAUACCCUGGUAGCGUAG
Molecule: ribosomal RNA, 470 nt
Filed under: uncultured bacterium
Lineage: Bacteria
Description: bacterial SSU rRNA
Rfam family: Bacterial small subunit ribosomal RNA
Source: RNAcentral